AGAAAAGAUCUACAAUCGCCAAGUAUCAGCACCAAUUUUGAAAAGGAAGAGUUCCCGUUUAGGAUUGGGUCAGUUUCUUUCAUCCGGAUCAAAUCAGAAUCAUUUGGCGACCCCACAGCACACAUAUUUACAGGCUCAUCCUCAACAUAAUUACAAUCAAAUGCACCUUCACAAACCCCAGUCUAGUGCCUCCCACAGCGUACAACAUUCACAGUCGUAUAAAACUCAUGCCCAUCAUUACCAAGUUGGCAGCCAAAGCGCCAUGGGUCGGCCAGAAAAUCUUGACUCCUCAUCUGUCCCUACCACUCCCAAUUUAAUAUCUUCCCAGCAGUACCAACAUCAGCAAUCAUUCUUCCAACAAAAUUUUGCCACUUCCACAACAACAGGGGUGCCAGACGGACACAUUCAUUCUAUCGGAGGAGCAGGUGACGAUUUCAACCUGUCUGGAUGUUUAUAUCGUGUUAUUGACCUUGAAGAAGCGGAUAAAGAAACAAUACAUCUAUUAGUUUUCCUGCUUAUGCAAUUCAUGUCGCGAGUUGAUUUAGCCUACCCAACGGAUGAAAAACCAAUGGUUAAACAACAAUCGAUCGUUUUGCGCCAUCUCUAUUUACUUCUUGGCUAUAAUCAAACAGAAAAAUUGUUCCAUACACCUCCAACGCGGCUCAGAACAUCAGCAGUAUUCAACUCAUUUAUAGCAAAUUUACCACAAGUUUUGGAUCAAAACCACUUGAUGGGAUGGCUCCUGUUACCAACUGUUAUACAGGUUCUUUUAUAUGCACCGAAUCAGGGUAAUGGCCUUCUACAAUCUGGAAACGAAGCUAUACAUAGUAUUUCAAAUACUUUUUCACUGUGGUACAUGGAAAUUCAUGUUCGUCGUAACUGGAUGAUGUCGUUGCUGGUAAUAUUGUAUAAAUAUCAAUAUAAUCAACCACCAUAUGCAGAUCAGAUACAGAAUUUAUUACGGAUCAUCAUAAACUCGCUCGAAUCCCAUUUCCAUCUAUGUCGAAGAAUACCGGCGACCGUUGUAAUGGACAUGCCUUCUCGGUCCCGAGACUUGAGCCAGCCGUCACUGGUAACUGAACACGACGAUAAAUUGCAGGAAACUCCUCCGCCCAGUCCAUUGUUUUAUACAGAAGGGUUAUUACAUGGCCACUCCUCAAAACACAAACCAUCAAAGACAAAUCCACUGGGAUUUCGAAAAUAUCCUGAUUCAAGCUUGGAAACAGAUGAUACAGAAUCGGAAUUAGUGGCUAUACCAGAAAGUGAUCUCUCUGAUAGUACACUUCAAUUGAGCAGUGCACCUAAUUCCUUCGAUGAUACUGCUCAUUUUGAUGAUAUAUGUGCGCCCCUGAAGCCUGAAGUCGUUAAAAAUAAAGUCACAACGCAUGUGACAACUGCUAAUCUCGCAACUGCUCAAGUAGCUAUAUCAACUAUAACAACAGGUGAAAAAGACGAUAAAGCUGAGCUCUCCAAAAAACUGCAAAAAAUAAUGUCGUCAGCUAGUGGUAACGAAAACUCUACAUCAGGUCAUGUAACUAGUGGUGCAUUAACUAAUAAAGUUGCUCUGCCGGCAAUGCCACAGAAGUGCUCAGUACAGGAAGGUGUGCGAAUGAUGGUGACUUCCUCCAUGCUGGGCCAACCAAAAGCACAGGCUAUACUAAAUCCACCGGCCAAUGUCCAGAAAGCCAUUGUAGUAACCCAAAAUACAUCAGUCGCUAUUGCUAAACCUAAAGAAAACAUGGUUUCUAAAAUAGCUACAACAAAUAUAGAAGGUAACAUCCUGAAACGUCUAUAAAGUACAGCGAGGCAA
Molecule: long non-coding RNA, 1810 nt
Organism: Ochlerotatus camptorhynchus
Lineage: Eukaryota; Metazoa; Arthropoda; Insecta; Diptera; Culicidae
Exons: 4
Source: RefSeq, a predicted model, not a curated record